RNAcentral lists this non-coding RNA (87 nucleotides) under Pseudomonas fragi. The record is from RNAcentral. Lineage: Bacteria; Pseudomonadati; Pseudomonadota; Gammaproteobacteria; Pseudomonadales; Pseudomonadaceae.
UGUGAGAGCGGGCUUGCUCGCGAUGCUAUCACCGCGGUUUUGCAGUCAGAACGCGGCGAUAGCAUCGCGAGCAAGCCCGCUCCCACA